RNAcentral lists this ribosomal RNA (494 nucleotides) under uncultured bacterium. Its description in RNAcentral is "partial 16S ribosomal RNA". It matches the Rfam family "Bacterial small subunit ribosomal RNA", at positions 28 to 507 of the family's 1533-position model. The record is from RNAcentral.
GACGAACGCUGGCGGCGUGCUUAACACAUGCAAGUCGAACGGUGAAGCGCCUUCCUUUUUGGUGGGUGUGGAUGAGUGGCGAACGGGUGAGUAACACGUGAGUAACCUGCCCCCUUCUUCUGGAUAACCGCAUGAAAGUGUGGCUAAUACGGGAUAUUCUGGGUCUGUCGCAUGAUGGGUCUGGGAAGGAUAUUGUUUCGGUGGGGGAUGGGCUCGCGGCCUAUCAGCUUUUUGGUGGGGUGAUGGCCUACCAAGGCGGUGACGGGUAGCCGGCCUGAGAGGGUGGGCGGUCACACUGGGACUGAGACACGGGCCAGACUCCUACGGGAGGCAGCAGUGGGGAAUAUUGCACAAUGGGCGCAAGCCUGAUGCAGCGACGCCGCGUGAGGGAUGGAGGCCUUCGGGUUGUGAACCUCUUUCGCCAGUGAAGCAGGCCUGCCUCGUUUGUGGGUGGGUUGACGGUAGCUGGAUAAGAAGCGCCGGCUAACUACGUG